Molecule: non-coding RNA, 86 nt
Filed under: Desulfotruncus arcticus DSM 17038
Lineage: Bacteria; Bacillati; Bacillota; Clostridia; Eubacteriales; Desulfallaceae
Description: c-di-GMP-I riboswitch aptamer
Rfam family: c-di-GMP-I riboswitch aptamer
About the family: GEMM was predicted in a large-scale screen for bacterial structured RNA regulatory elements. Genes associated with GEMM are involved in a diverse array of functions, including chemotaxis regulation, signal transduction, secretion and chitin.
Source: Rfam by way of RNAcentral
GCGGAAAAAAGGCAAACUUGUCGAAAGAUAGGGGCGCAAAGCCAUGGGCCUUAGUCGCAUCAGCGAUAUGGCAGCCGGUUGCUAAU